RNAcentral lists this long non-coding RNA (320 nucleotides) under Ananas comosus (pineapple). RNAcentral's name for it is "long non-coding RNA (ACOM_LNC012426)". Lineage: Eukaryota; Viridiplantae; Streptophyta; Magnoliopsida; Poales; Bromeliaceae. The record is from RNAcentral.
UAAAACAUAUAAGGCGUCUAAAAACAACAGUAAUAAAAGAAAUAAUGAGAGGCAUCUAGGAGUAUCAGAGCAUGAUAAAUGUCUAAAUGUUACAACCAGGGAUAAGGCUAAAGCUGUAAAUCCACUAAAUAAAACAUAAAGUAAAUACAAUAGAAAAUCCCAAAUACAAGUGCUAAAGGAAGGUACAUAGGUGGUCUCUACACAUGGAUACAAAAUCUCUCACUCUCCCAACUACAAAAAGAAAGAGCAAACCACCUAAGCAAGAACCGCUCCUCGCUAGCUAGCUAAGCGAUCCCCUUGCCGCGAUCCCGUGCCUCCGC